This 240-nucleotide ribosomal RNA is filed under the name uncultured Lactobacillus sp. RNAcentral's name for it is "partial 16S ribosomal RNA". It matches the Rfam family "Bacterial small subunit ribosomal RNA", at positions 122 to 354 of the family's 1533-position model. The record is from RNAcentral. Lineage: Bacteria; Bacillati; Bacillota; Bacilli; Lactobacillales; Lactobacillaceae.
UAACCUGCCCAAGAGAUCGGGAUAACACCUGGAAACAGAUGCUAAUACCGGAUAACAACAGAUGAUGCCUAUCAACUGUUUAAAAGAUGGUUCUGCUAUCACUCUUGGAUGGACCUGCGGUGCAUUAGCUAGUUGGUAGGGUAACGGCCUACCAAGGCGAUGAUGCAUAGCCGAGUUGAGAUACUGAUCGGCCACAUUGGGACUGAGACACGGCCCAAACUCCUACGGGAGGCAGCAGAC